RNAcentral lists this ribosomal RNA (527 nucleotides) under uncultured bacterium. RNAcentral's name for it is "bacterial SSU rRNA". It matches the Rfam family "Bacterial small subunit ribosomal RNA", at positions 56 to 575 of the family's 1533-position model. The record is from RNAcentral.
UGCAAGUCGCACGGGGCAAGUUGAGUAGCAAUACGAGAUUUGUUCAGUGGCGCACGGGUGAGUAACACGUGAAUUACAUGCCCUUCAGAGGGGGAUAGCCCAGGGAAACUUGGAUUAAUACCCCAUGGUCUCGCAAGAGUAAAGGUGGCCGCAAGGCUGUCGCUGGAGGAUUGGUUCGCGCCCUAUCAGCUUGUUGGUGAGGUAACGGCUCACCAAGGCUACGACGGGUACCUGGUCUGAGAGGACGAUCAGGCACACUGGAACUGAGACACGGUCCAGACACCUACGGGUGGCAGCAGUCGAGAAUAAUUCACAAUGGGGGCAACCCUGAUGGUGCAACGCCGCGUGGAGGAUGACGGUCUUCGGAUUGUAAACUCCUGUCAUCUGGGAGUAAGACCUGGUCGUUAAUAGCGGACAGGGUUGAUAGUACCAGAAGAGGAAGGGACGGCUAACUUCGUGCCAGCAGCCGCGGUAAUACGAAGGUCCCGAGCGUUGUUCGGAAUCACUGGGCGUAAAGGGAGCGUAGG